ACGGGUGAGUAACGCGUGGGUAACCUACCCUGUACACACGGAUAACAUACCGAAAGGUAUGCUAAUACGGGAUAAUAUAUUUGAGAGGCAUCUCUUAAAUAUCAAAGGUGAGCCAGUACAGGAUGGACCCGCGUCUGAUUAGCUAGUUGGUAAGGUAACGGCUUACCAAGGCAACGAUCAGUAGCCGACCUGAGAGGGUGAUCGGCCACAUUGGAACUGAGACACGGUCCAAACUCCUACGGGAGGCAGCAGUGGGGAAUAUUGCACAAUGGGCGAAAGCCUGAUGCAGCAACGCCGCGUGAGUGAUGAAGGCCUUCGGGUCGUAAAACUCUGUCCUCAAGGAAGAUAAUGACGGUACUUGAGGAGGAAGCCCCGGCUAACUACGUGCCAGCAGCCGCGGUAAUACGUAGGGGGCUAGCGUUAUCCGGAUUUACUGGGCGUAAAGGGUGCGUAGGCGGUCUUUCAAGUCAGGAGUGAAAGGCUACGGCUCAACCGUAGUAAGCUCUUGAAACUGGGAGACUUGAGUGCAGGAGAGGAGAGUGGAAUUCCUAGUGUAGCGGUGAAAUGCGUAGAUAUUAGGAGGAACACCAGUUGCGAAGGCGGCUCUCUGGACUGUAACUGACGCUGAGGCACGAAAGCGUGGGGAGCAAACAGGAUUAGAUACCCUGGUAGUCCACGCUGUAAACGAUGAGUACUAGGUGUCGGGGGUUACCCCCUUCGGUGCCGCAGCUAACG
Molecule: ribosomal RNA, 735 nt
Filed under: uncultured bacterium
Lineage: Bacteria
Description: bacterial SSU rRNA
Rfam family: Bacterial small subunit ribosomal RNA
Source: RNAcentral